This 79-nucleotide transfer RNA is filed under the name Ephemerocybe angulata. RNAcentral's name for it is "Coprinellus angulatus tRNA". It matches the Rfam family "tRNA". Rfam says of the family: Transfer RNA (tRNA) molecules are approximately 80 nucleotides in length. The record is from Rfam by way of RNAcentral. Lineage: Eukaryota; Fungi; Basidiomycota; Agaricomycetes; Agaricales; Psathyrellaceae.
GGGCGCUUGGCACAGGGGUAGCGCGCACGCUUUGCAUGAAAUAUGCGUGAGGCCAUGGGUUCAAAUCCCAUAGUGUCCA